AAGUUUUACUGUACACACCCAAGAGUUACCAUGCAUGAUCCGUGAAUGAUGGGUAUCAGGCCUGGACCAGGUUUGAUUCUAUAACGGUCCAGCAUCGACGGCCAUCACUGCUGAAUCGAGGCUGUUGCUCUGGCCUGGACCAGUAUCUAUUUCAGUCCCGAUGUAGUCAUAGCUGAUACAGUAAUGUCUGUUCAUCAGCACUGGUCCAGGCUGUAUAUCAGUACUGGAUCAGAUCGAUGCUUUUCAAGAUGGCAGCCCCGCGUGGACUAUCUGACAUGUUUUGUUAAAGAAAAUCAUCUUAAUCUGACUCUUUAAGAGAAAUCUCGUUGGCUGUAUACACUAGGGCUAAAUCACUGGAUGUUAUUAUUGAGCCAAGCAUUGAAACAGAGCCAGAAGACCUUUCUGCAAUAAUCAUGACACUAGUGAAGACAAUGAGAAAUCAGGCGUAAAAAUGGUUCACUACAUGUGAUUGUAACUAUGUUUUUAAUUAGGGUGAAUGUAUUAGUGAUCAUGAUGAUGAAGAUAUUGUACUGAGAGACUUAUGAAUGAUAGUCACAAGUGUGAAUUUUUGAUGCGGAAGAUUAUUCUGGAAAUAUUAGUAUAGUAGGUGCUCCUUUAAUUCAUAUUAAUUUAUUAAUUUAGCAAGGCCACUAGUAUACAUUCUAUAGUUACCUUAUCUCACUAAGUUUCAAGACAAGAAUAUCUUAGGUUUGUUUAAUUUCAUGUGAAAAGCUAAAUUCAUUAUUCAGGUUGUGAUGAACUGAAACUUUCUUGUUUAAAGCUCUUGUUAAGCAUUGAAUUUUUUUGUGAACCUGCCUUCAUCAUGCUGGUUAAGGAAGUUAUGUUAUGGAACUAAGCUUUGUAGGACUAUGUGUGACAAGAUACCUUUGAAAAAUCUGCUUCACUACAUGGAACCGAGAGUUCAUUAAUGUUAGAGAUUUUGGGAAAUUAAUUUCUCAGUAAUGUGUCUUAAGUUACAAAACAUGAAGUGUCUUACUUGUGGAACAUUGGUAGACUAUGAUAAAGAAAACAAUUAUAAUCUUUUUUUUGGUUUUAAUAAUAAUUCCAAAUCAUUUUAAAUUAA
Molecule: long non-coding RNA, 1084 nt
Filed under: Amphimedon queenslandica
Lineage: Eukaryota; Metazoa; Porifera; Demospongiae; Haplosclerida; Niphatidae
Description: uncharacterized LOC109584402, transcript variant X4
Source: RNAcentral